RNAcentral lists this long non-coding RNA (428 nucleotides) under Anas platyrhynchos (mallard). Its description in RNAcentral is "lncRNA (ENSAPLG00020009991.1)". The record is from RNAcentral. Lineage: Eukaryota; Metazoa; Chordata; Aves; Anseriformes; Anatidae.
AUGUGGAGCAUGGAUCUUUGGUCUUCUUUGCAGAAAGAGUAUUUGUGGUUUCCUCUUCCCCGGGACUUCCGAAUGCUUGUGUGGAGGGAACAAAUAACUGUGAAGUUACCAGGUAUGUGCAUUACAUGGCAAGCUCUGAAAAGGUGGGCACCUGGACAUUUUUGGUGGAGGUUUUAAACAGCACUUUUGAAAGGGGCUGCUGGGGGAUGGUGAGGUUGGCUCUGACAGUGGCACAAAAGUUGCUCAUCAUUUAAAUAAAGUUAAUUAAGAUUGAGGCCUACGAGGUGCCUGGGGCUAAGGAAUAAAUAGGCUAGGUUGCUUACAAGUUCAGCUACUGUACAGUAACGUGUAUGAAGCGCACACCGGAGUCUCCAUGGUGGAUCAGAUUGGAGCUGUGGUAGCAAAGAGCUGCCAAGGCCCAGCAGGGA